ACGGGAAAAAAUCUGAUCCCAUUAUCAUGAUUUACGAAUCAUGAAAAUUAUAAAUUGCUCUUGGGACGAAAUCAUGAUUCAGACUCAUGAUUUUUGAAGCAGAGCUACCACUAUCAUGAUUCAGAGCAACCAUUUUCAUGAGCUCCAAAUCAUGACCAUGAAAAGCGUUACGCACACGGUGCACCUGUCAAAACGUGUUUAGCAAAGCUUGUGCAAAGCAUAGUUGGCUGCGCAUUCACGGAAAAGUUGCCCUUUUUAUAAAAAAAAAGUUCACUUUUAUUGCCGGUUUCCUGCGCCGCUGUUGCUCUACUGUCGUUCCUGCUCUACUAUUCCGUUCCUGCUCCGUUGAUAUCGAGCUUUUCCGGCUCUGCAGAACUACCGCCGUUUCAUUCUGUUCCUUUCCUGCCGUGGCUGUUGCCCGUUCCGGCUCCUGUGUACCCGUUCCGGCUCCGCAUUGAGGGAAAAUUCUUCCGGCUCCGCUCUACUAACUACCGCCGUUUUAUUGUCCCAGUGCCACUGUCACCAUUCCCGCCGCGGCUGUUGCCGUCCAAUAGGUGCAUCCGUUCCGGCUCCGCAUUGAGUGACCAGCUCCGCCCUACCAACUACCGCUCCCGAUUUUGUUGCCGUUCCGGACGUUUUGUUUUCAAUCUUGGCUGGUUCCGCCCAGUAGGUGUUCCCGUUCCGACUUCCCCCACAACUACCGAACGCAGGUGAUAUAGAAGGGAGGAUCGAGCGGUGACUGAACCAUCUCCGCGAAAAAUUUGGGGAAUCAUCGCUACAACCUCAAAUUGUCGCAGUGGGCACGAGCAACUCAACAAAAGCAACGAUGAUUAUUUUUGGCGGCGCGG
Molecule: long non-coding RNA, 848 nt
Filed under: Aedes aegypti (yellow fever mosquito)
Lineage: Eukaryota; Metazoa; Arthropoda; Insecta; Diptera; Culicidae
Description: lncRNA AAEL022621
Source: RNAcentral